This 492-nucleotide ribosomal RNA is filed under the name uncultured bacterium. Its description in RNAcentral is "partial 16S ribosomal RNA". It matches the Rfam family "Bacterial small subunit ribosomal RNA", at positions 29 to 507 of the family's 1533-position model. The record is from RNAcentral.
AGUGAACGCUGGCGGUAGGCCUAACACAUGCGAGUCGAACGGCAGCACAGUAAGAGCUUGCUCUUACGGGUGGCGAGUGGCGGACGGGUGAGGAAUACAUCGGAAUCUACUUUUUCGUGGGGGAUAACGUAGGGAAACUUACGCUAAUACAGCAUACGACCUACGGGUGAAGGCAGGGGAUCUUCGGACCUUGCGCGAUUGAAUGAGCCGAUGUCGGAUUAGCUAGUUGGCGGGGUAAAGGCCCACCAAGGCGACGAUCCGUAGCUGGUCUGAGAGGAUGAUCAGCCACACUGGAACUGAGACACGGUCCAGACUCCUACGGGAGGCAGCAGUGGGGAAUAUUGGACAAUGGGCGCAAGCCUGAUCCAGCCAUACCGCGUGGGUGAAGAAGGCCUUCGGGUUGUAAAGCCCUUUUGUUGGGAAAGAAAAGCAGCAGGUUAAUACCCCGCUGUUCUGACGGUACCCAAAGAAUAAGCACCGGCUAACUUCGUG